GACGAACGCUGGCGGCGUGCUUAACACAUGCAAGUCGAACGGAAAGGCCUUUUCGGAGGUACUCGAGUGGCGAACGGGUGAGUAACACGUGGGUGAUCUGCCCUGCACUCUGGGAUAAGCCUGGGAAACUGGGUCUAAUACCGGAUAGGACCGCACUUUAGUGUGUGUGGUGGAAAGUUUUUUCGGUGUAGGAUGAGCCCGCGGCCUAUCAGCUUGUUGGUGGGGUAAUGGCCUACCAAGGCGGCGACGGGUAGCCGGACUGAGAGGUUGGUCGGCCACAUUGGGACUGAGAUACGGCCCAGACUCCUACGGGAGGCAGAAGUGGGGAAUAUUGCACAAUGGGCGCAAGCCUGAUGCAGCGACGCCGCGUGGGGGAUGACGGCCUUCGGGUUGUAAACUCCUUUCGCCAGGGACGAAGCGUUUUGUGACGGUACCUGGAGAAGAAGCACCGGCUAACUACGUG
This 463-nucleotide ribosomal RNA is filed under the name uncultured bacterium. Its description in RNAcentral is "partial 16S ribosomal RNA". It matches the Rfam family "Bacterial small subunit ribosomal RNA", at positions 28 to 507 of the family's 1533-position model. The record is from RNAcentral.